CAGUCGUACCGACGAGAAACCAACUUAUAGUGUGCGAACUUGUGGACGUGCGUGAGUUUCGGCCUCGCUGUCUACAUGUUUGUUCGCUUUGGGUGUACUUUUUCGUAUGGUAGGCCAACGUCAGUUUCGAUUAUCAUAAAAUGACCGGCGGAAUGUAGCUUCGAUUUCGGUUGAAGUGUUAUAGCCUCUGGUAGAUGUGGUGAUUGGGACUGAGGAUUGCAACGAAUACCCUUUGGGCUAUCCGUCUGGCCUCUGAAAGUUGCUCAGGUGCCGAAAGCGUGCUUACGGUCAUCUAAGAUAACGUUCAACAGGUUAGAACGUGAUUACAUUCGUUAAGGACGUUGGCGUAAUGGCUUUAAACGA
Molecule: ribosomal RNA, 363 nt
Filed under: uncultured Glomeraceae
Lineage: Eukaryota; Fungi; Glomeromycota; Glomeromycetes; Glomerales; Glomeraceae
Description: partial large subunit ribosomal RNA
Source: RNAcentral